Long non-coding RNA from Ctenocephalides felis (cat flea), 753 nucleotides. RefSeq lists it as uncharacterized. NCBI's taxonomy places the organism in Eukaryota, Metazoa, Arthropoda, Insecta, Siphonaptera, Pulicidae. The record is from RefSeq and is a predicted model, not a curated record. The transcript is spliced from 4 exons.
CAAAAGACGAGUUUCCAAUUUUCAAAGACAAAUCUACAUAAUCGUUUCUGCAUUAUAAUAGUAAAUGUGAUACGAAAAACCAACAGCGAAACAAAGGUUAUGACUGCUGAUACGUGGAUUUUUAUACAUUGACAAGGAGCCUCAAUCCUGGAACUCAACAUACGAGUAUAGCACAGGUCUUGGCUGGCGAGAGGCGAGCUCUGCGAUGAGUUUAUCGCUUUAAUAAACGGCAGUCGCUCCGCACGGAGGCUGUGAGCGCCGAAAUCUUAAAUCUAGUUAAACGCGUGCUAUAUAACAACGUGCCUCUGUUAAUUGUCUUAUCAAAUUCGAACCAGGAGAUGAUAACGUCUACAAGAUCCUCUAUUCUGGGUCGUUUGUUACCCAGAAUUAGAGAAGACCUGCCAGAACGAAAUUUACGCGAUUUUUUGUGAAGUGAAUUGGGAAGGAACAAAAUUAAAACACACUUGUUACUUUGUUAAAAUAGUACAAAAACAUACGCUGCAAUAAUAAUAAUAAUUGUGCCUAACGUUUAUUACACGAAACUGUUGUUAAAACAAUACAAACACACGUUACGAUUUUGUGAGACGUGCGUUUGCAUAAAAGUUAUAUUUUAGAAGUUGUGUGGGGAAUUAAUUCUACUUGCAAAUAGAUCCGACGACACUUGUACCUUCAAAUAUUCCAACUUGUGGAGGUGUUCAAAGUGUUAAAAUAUUAUCGAGGAAUUUUGCUGUUAUCGUAUCAAUCUAUUAAUCU